RNAcentral lists this ribosomal RNA (409 nucleotides) under uncultured bacterium. RNAcentral's name for it is "bacterial SSU rRNA". It matches the Rfam family "Bacterial small subunit ribosomal RNA", at positions 355 to 776 of the family's 1533-position model. The record is from RNAcentral.
UGGGGAAUAUUGCACAAUGGGCGCAAGCCUGAUGCAGCGACGCCGCGUGGGGGAUGACGGCCUUCGGGUUGUAAACCUCUUUCAGCACAGACGAAGCGCAAGUGACGGUAUGUGCAGAAGAAGCACCGGCCAACUACGUGCCAGCAGCCGCGGUAAUACGUAGGGUGCGAGCGUUGUCCGGAAUUACUGGGCGUAAAGAGCUCGUAGGUGGUUUGUCGCGUUGUUCGUGAAAACCGGGGGCUUAACCCUCGGCGUGCGGGCGAUACGGGCAGACUGGAGUACUGCAGGGGAGACUGGAAUUCCUGGUGUAGCGGUGGAAUGCGCAGAUAUCAGGAGGAACACCGGUGGCGAAGGCGGGUCUCUGGGCAGUAACUGACGCUGAGGAGCGAAAGCGUGGGGAGCGAACAGG